GUUGUUUUAGUGUAUGCAGUGUGUGUUGUGUUAGUGUAUGCAGUGUGUGUGUUGUGUUAGUGUAUGCAGUGUGUGUUGUGUUAGUGUAUGCAGUGUGUGUGUGUGUUGUGUUAGUGUAUGUAGUGCGUGUGUUGUGUUAGUGUAUGCAGUGUGUGUGUUGUGUUAGUGUAUGCAGUGUGUGUUGUGUUAGUGUAUGCAGUGUGUGUGUGUGUGUUGUGUUAGUGUAUGCAGUGUGUGUUGUUAGUGUGUG
This is a non-coding RNA of Pelobates cultripes (western spadefoot toad), 250 nucleotides long. The record is from the annotation of a GenBank genome assembly. NCBI's taxonomy places the organism in Eukaryota, Metazoa, Chordata, Amphibia, Anura, Pelobatidae.